RNAcentral lists this transfer RNA (74 nucleotides) under Methylotuvimicrobium alcaliphilum 20Z. RNAcentral describes it as "Methylomicrobium alcaliphilum 20Z tRNA". It matches the Rfam family "tRNA". From Rfam's summary of the family: Transfer RNA (tRNA) molecules are approximately 80 nucleotides in length. Their secondary structure includes four short double-helical elements and three loops (D, anti-codon, and T loops). Lineage: Bacteria; Pseudomonadati; Pseudomonadota; Gammaproteobacteria; Methylococcales; Methylococcaceae. The record is from Rfam by way of RNAcentral.
CGGGGCGUAGCGCAGCUUGGUAGCGCACUUGCAUGGGGUGCAAGGGGUCGAAGGUUCAAAUCCUUUCGCCCCGA